UUAGGGAUUUUUUUUGUUGCAUGUACAUUUAAAUUUAAAUCUUAUGUUUGGUUUGACAUAUUUAAUUUAAUUACUGUAGCUGGAACUGUACGAGCAUGCUCAACUGCAAGAGUUGAAGUUAUAUUCAAAUCAGCCGCAGUUCCAACUACAGUAAUUAGAGAGAGAAAGUAAUAUAAAUAAUAAAUAAGCUUACCUCUCUAAUAACUUUUAUUUAGAAAAAUAUUUAUAAUUACAUCGAAAAGAGAUAAAAUU
RNAcentral lists this long non-coding RNA (252 nucleotides) under Ananas comosus (pineapple). RNAcentral describes it as "long non-coding RNA (ACOM_LNC004363)". The record is from RNAcentral. Lineage: Eukaryota; Viridiplantae; Streptophyta; Magnoliopsida; Poales; Bromeliaceae.